Molecule: long non-coding RNA, 4969 nt
Organism: Oxyura jamaicensis (ruddy duck)
Lineage: Eukaryota; Metazoa; Chordata; Aves; Anseriformes; Anatidae
Exons: 3
Source: RefSeq, a predicted model, not a curated record
AUGAUGUUCACAUUUGGGGCUUUUACUCCUUUUGGUGCCAAGUCUGACAAGCUGGCUGUUGCUCAUUUUGUGUGAGUGACAGGAACCUGGAGAUACGGCCCUCUCCGCUGCGUAUGUGCUGUCAGCUCGGGUUAUUCGCAUCCUGUGGUAGUGUUGAAUUGCCCUUCUGAUGUAGGCAGAGAUCCUAUUUGUCUUUGUAGCUGCAGAACUGGCAGACUUGCUGAAGUUCAACCAGAAGGCCCUUGAAAGUCCCUACAGCUGAUUUCGUUAUGGCUUUUUUCUUUUUCAUUAUGUUUGACAUUUUGAAGGCUGAGCCUCAUUAUAGACAGGCAAUCUCCAGCACCAGGCUGGGGAAAUGAGUUCUGUGAGAUGGUGAACACAUGAAAAAAGUGAGAGAGAGUGACCACAAAAUUAAAAUGAGAUUUGAGGCACAUUUUUCCUGUGUUGUAGACUUGUGCAGUAUGUGUUCAAUGCAAUGUGCCUUGAAACCAAAGACCUUAAAAAUGGGAGGAAAAGGGAUCCCUUUUCACUGGGCAUCCAAGAAACAGAAUUAUUCAGUUCACUGCAGCAUUUCUUCUGCUCAGUGUAUAAAUAUCCUUAUUAAUGUAGCAAUACUAAUAUUUUCAAGGCUAAUUCUACUUUUGUAAUGAUGGAAAUGUGUUUGAGGUGGUUUGUAGUCAAAAGUCUUUAAACCAGAGGCAAAGAUGUCAGUGACACAGUCCCAGAGAAGGAGGAGCACCGGGCACUUGCUGUUAGGCUGAUCCUGCUAAAAUAACCUGAAAGCCAUCCGUAUUCCAUCCCGUAUCAACUGUUUCACCUGACUUGAGUCACAGCUGAGAGAACAUUCUGCUGUAUACAAAGAGCUCUGCUUGUUUCUUCUCCCUGUACCCUUUCUGAGGCCUAUUUUACUCCCUCUGUUUAUAUGUAGUUAUUUCUAAUAUAUAUAUUUUUUAAAUCCAGCUCUCCUACUUCACCAUUCUAUAUAAAUGCUCCUUUAUGCUACCAUGAAUCGGUUACCACACCAAUAAACUCGUGUGUAACGCAGGGCAAAGACAGUCUGAAGCACAACAGGGUUCGCAUGCGUUAAAAAGCUAGACCUCCUCGCUGUCGCAGAGAAGCAGGCAGAUAACACACUGGUGGAAGCAUAGAGAAGAGUCAGACAAGAUAAGAGACGGUUGGGCAAGGUCAGUGAAUUUGAAGAAGGAACCAGGGCAAUGCCAGGAGUUUGCAGUGCUCAUCUGAUGGGGACUGGUGGAAGGGAUUUUGAAUGUAGGUGAAGUCACCUCACAUAGGGUAAGUAUUUUAGAAAAAAUGGAAUAGAGCGUAACAGAAUCAUUUUUUUAUUUGGGUGGAAGUCUGAUUUUUUCUUAACCAUCAAACUGAAAAACAGCUGCUCAGUUAGCUCUAGCCAGAAUGUAACUCCCCGCCUUUUUGCAGGGUGUGCUGCUAAACAGGCAGUGUCUGCAGAGCAUUUCUUGUUGCUGCGUAUCGUCAUUACAGAACUCACAUGAGUGGGAAGGAAUGCAAUUGUGUGUUCAGCAGUGGUGGCGUUGGGGCAUCUUGGGUCAAAGGCCCAAGGUUAAGCAUGGUGACUCUGCCAAAAACAUGCAGUUUUUGUUAGGAAUGCUUGAAAUAAUUAAAAGUCUGAUUUUUCAGUGGUGCACUGUGGAUACUGCUUAUAGACUCAGUGAAAAUUGUCAAAUUUCAGGUAACGUUUAUAAAGCUUCAAAGGGCCAGAGCAUUCUUUGAAACUACACAUGGGAGGAGUGGUCCUUCCACAUAGCCAUGAAAAAUGAGAAUUCCCACAAUCUCUUCCUUGUAGGAACCUGCUCUAGUCUGAAUACUGACCUGCUUUUGAAACAUAUGAAUGCUUUUUUUUUUUUUUUUUUAAUAAAUGCAGACAUGAUAUUUGUGCUAUUUUACCUUAAUAAAUGCAGACAUGAUAUUUGUGCUAUUUUACCAUCUCCUACAUCUCUAAAAGCUCCCUGACUUUAUCAUAAUACUGUUUCUGGAUUUGGCCCACAUGUGAAAUCAAAAGCAGAGAAAUUCCUUUAGUGUGUGGAUGAAAUCUCAGACCAUGGGUGUGGAAGUAUAACCUUAGCUAUGACUGUGAUGUUCAAUAUCCACCGAUGAAGUAUUUGUGUGGCUGUGGAUCAUCAAGCAAGAUGUGCAAGAAGCAGACUAAAAUGUUCCCAACAAAAUGUGACUGUCUGCCCAGCCAACAUAUAUUGUCAUGACAAUUAUUUCCAAAAUAAUUGAAGCUAGUUUCUAUAUAACUUCUGUGAGCUUCCUUGUUAUCAGCCACAUAUGCUUGAUGCCUAACAUUUGAAUCUUUAAAAGGUUUUGAAGCUUUUAUUUUCUAUAGCUAUCAUAGGCUGACAAGAGUCACCGUGGCAGCAACAGGAAAGUGUUUGGGAUCAGUCUAAGGAGAGGGAGAAAAGCUGGAGGAAGGUGAUGAUGAAACUAGGGCAUUUGUGGCCCUUUCUAGGGAUAGGGGCUCAUGCCAUUUUUCUGGUUGCUUUGUGAGGGCUAUUAAAUUGUAAUGCCAAAGCCUUUUCCAUCAGUGGCCUAAAAGUAAUGCGUAUUUGAGUAUUGCAGAUUAUUUAGACAGUAGCUUCAUAGUUUGUGGCUGCUCAGGCAUCAGCCACAAGGAAAAUGCACAGUUAUGCUCACCCAGCUGGACAGAUAGCUUGUGACUAAAGUGUCUGAUCAACAAGGCUUAUGUUUGAUAUCUAGCAUUGUGAAUUUGAGCUGCUUUUCAAAAUAGCUGCAGGAUUUAAGCAGAAAUUAUUUCUAAUGAGAAACUACAAUUGGUUUCUUGCUCCCUUUCAAACUGAAAAAGACACAAAAUCAAUCAAAACUCAGGGUAAAUUAUUCACCUGACUUUAGCAAAGAAACAAACCUGGCAAUAAAAAGCCCUUCAUUGUGAGAGGGAGCAGAGCCCACACAGGAAAUGGGGCUGUAGAAAGUGCGGCUGAGCAGCCUCCUCCAGUUUGUGUCUCUGCUCUAGCCAUAUUCCUGCUAGACAUUUGCAAUUUUACAGGUUGUGGGUUGUGCACAAAUAAAACACUGCAUUCAAAUGUGGGGAAAGACAUAGGCAGGCAACACCAACAUGUCACACCCAGUUUUAAAGUUCAAGGUGCCAUUUUGCAUUAAGAGAAUAAUGAAUCUUUCAGGUGAACAAAUAUUCAAGUCCUGGAGCAAUACACUGAGGUGGAGGUUUAAUGAACUCUUUAGGGGUGGUUUUUCUGCUCGUGUAAAUUGGCGCAGAAAAAAAAAAAAAAAAAAAAAAAAAAAAAAGCCAGCAAAAAAGUUGCCCUGGCUUUAUAUAACUACACAGUAAUGAUCUCUCCCUGUUCUGCUGGGGAGCUUUUAUCCUCAAACACUGUGUUCCAUGUGGAUUAUCUUGAUGGUUUUUUUUCCCCAUUUAACACAGGAGAUAAAGACUCUGGCCUCUGUAUUUAACUGUAGCAUUUUCUAUCAGAAAAUAAGGCAGUACUUUCUAAGGGUAGCUCAUGCAUUGAACUCAGCUGUCAAAGCUACUCAUGCUGCCUUGGGUAAUUGGCUACUCACAAAUCUUUAUCUAAAGUAUAAAGUAAAUAACUACCAAAAAGCCUAACCUAAACUGAAGCUGUAAAUUAUCCCACAAAUUCAUUUUACUGCUGUUUUGCUUGGAUUUACUCAACCUAUAAAUCAGAACUGAACAAGACUUUCACAGAAUGAUGGCCACAAGGAUCUUUAUGAGGUCUACAGCCAUAAAUUUUGAAGCUGAAGAGGCUGAACCAGUAACCAUCUGAGCUCUCCUUUCCACACAGUUUGUAUGCUCUCUCGCUCACUCGCGUCUGCCAGCUUCCUCAGCAUUACUCAAAAUGCAUUCUGCCUCAUUGUUUAGAAACUUGUGUGAUGUUUGGUUUUCGUUUUUAAAAUGGGUAGGGUGGUAGGAGAUUGAGGGGUGCCCUGCUUUCUCUGCAAUGAGCGGUUGUUAGAGCAACCACCCAAACCACAGAAAGGCAGGAUUUGGCUUCCUCUUGAGCCCAUGUGGUUUGGACUGGCAUUUUCAGCUGCCCAGAGAGCUGCUGGAAAGUAGCACUGUUAAAGAAAUACGAGUCUCAUGGUUCAGGAAGAGCAAAGGAAGCAAUGGCUGUAAGAAGAGUUGUGGGGAUUUUACAAGAAAUAGUACUUGCCUCAGGGACUGGAAGUCAGAAUGACGGAGGUCUUGCUGGACUGCACCUGCUGUCUCCAACUGAACCUUUUCCGGGAUCGUUUUAUCCCCCAAACUGAUAAACUACAAGAAACAAACAUUUAGGUUUUAAAUAAUAUUAUAUAAAUUUGGCAUAGCUGAAUUAAUGGUUCCAGCUCUGAAAGCUGCUGUUUUACUUUACCACUCAGUAAGCUUGGUGCUCACUUAUCGUGAAUCUGAUUAAAAUCCACAUUUCCGAGUCCGACAAACCAAGUCAUUGUCAAGGAUUGUCUCUCAGAGUUAACUGUAGCUCCUAGGUGCUGUUUCUGCCUGCAAGGCAGAAGAAAUUUUGAAAUAAAGAUGCGUUUACCUGUCUUCCUGUCCUUGCUGCUGUUGGUAAAAUGUGUUGGUCUGUUUGGAGCUGUACUGCAGAGGUAACAUUGGGGGCUAUCCUAUUUAUUUAUUUCUGUGCCCUGUUCUCAAAUCCACAACAUUCCUGUAAAUGUGUGGCAUGGCUUUUGUCUGAAUAACACGUAUUAAUUUCUUUAUCUGAAUAGUGUAGAAAUGAAGAACACAACACUGCCAAGAUUUACUGCACAGAGCUCAACUGCUGGGUGGAGGAUAGCUGCAGUGACAGGACUAAUGCAAAUCAGAUCAGGGCAUUCUGUGGACCAGUAUUUGAUGCCACAGCCACCAGGCUGCAGCACUGCCAGAUGAUGCCGUACGUCUCCGUCCCUGCCAUCCGAUUCCGAGUGCUCACUGCGGUGUUCAACAGAAGGGCUUCUUAGA